RNA transcript from Arvicola amphibius (Eurasian water vole), 2048 nucleotides. It is a transcript of the gene named cryptochrome circadian regulator 2, with no coding region annotated. The record is from RefSeq and is a predicted model, not a curated record. The transcript is spliced from 13 exons. Lineage: Eukaryota; Metazoa; Chordata; Mammalia; Rodentia; Cricetidae.
CCCAGUCGGGGAGGCGAUGGCGGCGGCCGCUGUGGUGGCAGCGACAGUCCCCGCACCGACAACGGGCGCGGACGGCGCAUCUUCCGUGCAUUGGUUCCGCAAAGGGCUGCGGCUCCACGACAACCCCGCGCUGCUAGCGGCCGUGCGCGGGGCGCGCUGUGUACGCUGCGUCUACAUCCUCGACCCGUGGUUUGCGGCCUCCUCGUCUGUGGGCAUCAACCGGUGGAGGUUCCUACUGCAGUCUCUGGAAGAUCUGGACACAAGCUUAAGAAAGCUGAACUCCCGUCUGUUUGUAGUCCGGGGCCAGCCAGCUGAUGUGUUCCCGAGGCUUUUCAAGGAAUGGGGGGUGACCCGCUUGACCUUUGAAUAUGACUCUGAACCCUUUGGGAAAGAACGGGAUGCGGCUAUUAUGAAGAUGGCCAAGGAGGCUGGUGUGGAGGUGGUGACUGAGAACUCUCACACCCUCUAUGACUUGGACAGAAUCAUCGACCUGAAUGGGCAGAAACCACCCCUUACCUACAAGCGCUUUCAGGCCAUCAUCAGCCGCAUGGAGCUGCCCAAGAAGCCCGUCGGCACUGUGAGUAGCCAGCAGAUGGAGAGCUGUAGAGCCGAGAUCCGGGAGAACCACGAUGACACCUAUGGUGUGCCUUCCCUGGAGGAGCUGGGGUUCCCCACGGAAGGACUUGGCCCAGCUGUCUGGCAAGGAGGAGAGACAGAAGCUCUGGCCCGCCUGGAUAAGCAUUUGGAACGGAAGGCCUGGGUUGCCAACUAUGAGAGACCUCGGAUGAAUGCCAAUUCCUUGCUGGCCAGCCCCACAGGCCUCAGCCCCUACCUGCGCUUCGGAUGCCUCUCCUGCCGCCUCUUUUACUACCGCCUGUGGGACUUGUAUAAGAAGGUGAAGAAGAACAGCACACCCCCCCUCUCCUUGUUUGGACAACUCCUGUGGCGAGAGUUCUUCUACACGGCGGCCACCAAUAACCCCAGGUUUGACCGAAUGGAGGGGAACCCCAUCUGCAUCCAGAUCCCCUGGGACCGCAACCCUGAAGCCCUGGCCAAGUGGGCCGAGGGCAAGACAGGCUUCCCUUGGAUUGACGCCAUCAUGACCCAACUGAGGCAGGAGGGCUGGAUCCACCACCUGGCCCGGCACGCCGUGGCCUGCUUCCUUACCCGCGGGGACCUCUGGGUCAGCUGGGAGAGCGGGGUCCGGGUAUUUGAUGAACUGCUCCUGGAUGCAGAUUUCAGCGUGAAUGCGGGCAGCUGGAUGUGGCUGUCCUGCAGUGCUUUCUUCCAGCAGUUCUUCCAUUGCUACUGCCCUGUGGGCUUCGGCCGACGCACAGACCCCAGUGGGGACUACAUUCGGCGAUACCUGCCCAAAUUGAAAGGGUUCCCCUCUCGCUACAUCUACGAGCCCUGGAAUGCCCCCGAGUCGGUUCAGAAGGCCGCCAAGUGCAUCAUUGGCGUAGACUACCCGCGACCCAUCGUCAACCAUGCUGAGACCAGUCGGCUCAACAUCGAGCGCAUGAAGCAGAUCUACCAGCAGCUGUCACGAUACCGGGGACUCUGUCUUCUAGCAUCUGUCCCUUCCUGUGUGGAAGACCUCAGUCACCCAGUGGCAGAUCCCAGCUCUAGCCAGGCUGGGAGCAUCAGCAACACAGGCCCCAGACCCAUAGCCAGUGGCCCAGCCUCCCCCAAACGCAAGCUGGAAGCAGCUGAGGAGCCUCCCGGUGAAGAACUGAGCAAGCGGGCUAGGGUGACAGAGAUGCCUGCCCAAGAGCCACCAAGCAAGGAUGCCUGAGGGGAACCUGAGAAGAACCGGAUUCAGGGGUGUUUUGAACACCAGAAACAUCAGCGUUUGCCCGAUCUUAUACAAAUGACUUACUCUCUCGGACGGUGGUUGCUGUUCCCAAGAAAGCAUGCAGGUGUCGGUCAGUCACGGACGUGUGGAAGUGCGGGUGCAGCCAGAGAGUCAUCACUCCGUGACAAAGCCCGGGUGCCUGAACUGCCACGGCCUACAGAGAACCCAGUCACCAACAGACAGCGGACGAGUG